Clupea harengus (Atlantic herring) is the source of this 380-nucleotide long non-coding RNA. Lineage: Eukaryota; Metazoa; Chordata; Actinopteri; Clupeiformes; Clupeidae. The record is from Ensembl.
CUCACAAAUAAAAACAGUAGCUAUCUGUUGAAACGUAUCUGUGACUGGGGGUCUUUAUACAACAAGGAGGCACACAGAGGGUGAGGGUGAGGAGGCACACAGGGGGUGAUGGUGAGGAGGCACACAGAGGGUGAGGGUGAGGAGGCACACAGAGGGUGAGGAGGCACACAGAGGGUGAGGGUGAGGAGGCACACAGAGGGUGAGGGUGAGGAGGCACACAGAGGGUGAGGGUGAGGAGACACACAGAGGCACACAGAGGGUGAGGGUGAGGAGGCACACAGAGGGUGAGGGUGAGAAGGCACACAGAGGCACACAGAGGGUGAGGGUGAGAAGGCACACAGAGGGUGAGGGUGAGGAGGCACACAGAGGGUGAGGGUGAG